AGUGAACGCUGGCGGUAGGCCUAACACAUGCAAGUCGAACGGCAGCACAGUAAGAGCUUGCUCUUACGGGUGGCGAGUGGCGGACGGGUGAGGAAUACAUCGGAAUCUACUUUUUCGUGGGGGAUAACGUAGGGAAACUUACGCUAAUACCGCAUACGACCUACGGGUGAAAGCAGGGGAUCUUCGGACCUUGCGCGAUUGAAUGAGCCGAUGUCGGAUUAGCUAGUUGGCGGGGUAAAGGCCCACCAAGGCGACGAUCCGUAGCUGGUCUGAGAGGAUGAUCAGCCACACUGGAACUGAGACACGGUCCAGACUCCUACGGGAGGCAGCAGUGGGGAAUAUUGGACAAUGGGCGCAAGCCUGAUCCAGCCAUACCGCGUGGGUGAAGAAGGCCUUCGGGUUGUAAAGCCCCUUUGUUGGGAAAGAAAAGCAGCAGGUUAAGACCCCGCUGUUCGGACGGUACCCAAAGAAUAAGCACCGGCUAACUGCGG
RNAcentral lists this ribosomal RNA (491 nucleotides) under uncultured bacterium. Its description in RNAcentral is "partial 16S ribosomal RNA". It matches the Rfam family "Bacterial small subunit ribosomal RNA", at positions 29 to 506 of the family's 1533-position model. The record is from RNAcentral.